AUGAGAAAGGGGAGAAAAAUGAUGCCUUUGGUCAGCUGUUUAGCAUUGCAUGUUCUGUAAAAUAAAUUAUAAUAUAUUAAUAUAAACUGUAAACUAAUAAUAAAAACUGUAAUUAUUAUUAAUAAACUUACAGUUUAUAAUCCAGUUGUGCUGUGAGAGAAGUUCAGCAGCUGGAUAAUGCAGGAUAGAAAAUGGAGUUGACAGAGAUGCAAAACAACUCUCCUACUGCAGUACGGACUCCCUUUCACUGUCUCUUUUAGCUGGAGACCUGGGCUGUGCAUCUGUGUUCCUCCAUCUACAAUGAGAAGAAAGGGUUUGUUUUUUUUAAUUUCAUUGUUGUAACAAAUAAAAAUCAAGGGAGCUUGGCAACUGUGUUUGACUGUGAGUGGUUCUAGAAGUCUGACCUUUAUUCUUCUGUCAUUCAUAUUGAACACUGAUCCCUAGGUGCACAGUGUGUCUGUUCCUCAGGGGUUCAUAUGGUCUCGUGUACUUGACACUGCAAAAAAACAGUAGCAGAAGCAGUG
Molecule: long non-coding RNA, 524 nt
Filed under: Gallus gallus (chicken)
Lineage: Eukaryota; Metazoa; Chordata; Aves; Galliformes; Phasianidae
Description: long non-coding RNA NONGGAT015920
Source: RNAcentral